Mobula hypostoma (lesser devil ray) is the source of this 1056-nucleotide long non-coding RNA. RefSeq lists it as uncharacterized. NCBI's taxonomy places the organism in Eukaryota, Metazoa, Chordata, Chondrichthyes, Myliobatiformes, Myliobatidae. The record is from RefSeq and is a predicted model, not a curated record. The transcript has 4 exons.
GGGCAGGGCGCAGUUAACUGCGAGGAAGGGAAGCUUGUACAUCUGACAGUCGAGGCAAAGAUCAUCGGGCUAAAUAGAAAGCUGGAAGAAGGAAAAGGUCAAACAGAGAAGAUCAGAAAAGAUUGAAGCAGAAGUCUCCAAGCUCUGACACUGACCUCACCAUCACCAGUCUGAGUGGGAGGCAGCUAACCAGCUCACAGGAGGAGGCUUUCUUGAGAAAACUGCAGGAUGAACCCCACCUUUGUCAAAUGGGUUCUGACAUCAAGAAUGAGUUUCAGAGAGUUCCCCUGUGGGAUGUGUUGGGUGCGUCUCGGCCACCGCUGCAUCCCUGCAUGCUUCGCGGAUCGGUAUCGGUUGGCAGCCUAGAGCGUGGGGACUACUGCACCACCCCAACCUCCGACGACUCAGCCUAACACACCAUCAUCAGUGUGCCCGAUGUCUUCCCGAUUCCCGUAAGUGAUACUACACCGUACAUACGUUAUUUCUACUUUAUAUAGGCUGUGUAUUUUUAGGUGUUAUUUGGUAUAAUUUGGCAGCUUCAUAGUUUAAAGGUUACUGGAGAGAGUGUUUUUGCCGAGAGCGCUUGCGUGAGAUUUUCACUAUGGAGAACCGGGCAGGCAAUGAUUGUAGAGAAGUAUUUCUACUUUGUAUAGGCUGUAUAUUUAUAUCAUUCCUGCUUUUACUACAUGUUACUGUUAUUUUAGGUUUUAUGUGUUAUUUGGCAUGAUUUGGUAGGUUAUUUUUGGGUCUGCAAACGCUCACAAAUUUUUCCCAUAUAAAUAAAUGGUAAUUGCUUCUUCGCUUUACGACAUUCCGGCUUACGAACCGUUUCAUAGGAACGCUCUACCUUCGGAUGGCGAGGGAAACCUGUAUUCAGGACAUUUAUAAAAACAGGUGUGUAAAAAGGGCACAAAGGAUUAUUGGAGACCCGAGUCAUCCCAACAACAAACUUUUCCAGCAGCUACUGUCUGGGAAAUGGUACCACAGCAUAAAAGCCAGGGCAAACAGGCUCCAGGACAGCUUCUUCCACCAGGCUGCUUAAUUCAUGCUGACACA